This is a small nucleolar RNA of Alligator mississippiensis (American alligator), 206 nucleotides long. RefSeq annotates it as small nucleolar RNA U3. The transcript has a single exon. NCBI's taxonomy places the organism in Eukaryota, Metazoa, Chordata, Crocodylia, Alligatoridae. The record is from RefSeq and is a predicted model, not a curated record.
AAGACUAUGCUUUCAGGGAUCAUUUCUAUAGUUGGUAACUAGAGAAAUGUGUCUGAAAGUGUUUGGUCUUGCUGGCCACGAGGACGAGUUGUGGUGCCCUUCCCUGAGCCUGAGGUGGGUGGGUGGUGCUGCUCUGUGGUGCUGUCUGUCAUUGAUGACUGUUCCACCCCUUUGGGGUUGGAGAGGGAGGGCGUGGACUGAGUGGU